UUAAACGUAAUGACAGAAACAAGUAGCUGCUUAUCUCCCUGUUUUAGAGAGCUGAUGCCUGGUGAAAAUCAGCACAAAGAUAACAGUGAAUUACCUUCUUGAACUUUCUCUGUGAACAGGAGUAGCAGGGAACGGCACGGGCCGUUAAUCCGCUGAGUGGAAGAGCAAUCUUCAAAAAGGGUGGUACCGCGUUAGCCACGUCCCUUUC
Molecule: non-coding RNA, 208 nt
Filed under: Bacillus sp. (in: firmicutes)
Lineage: Bacteria; Bacillati; Bacillota; Bacilli; Caryophanales; Bacillaceae
Description: Bacillus sp. T-box sequence
Rfam family: T-box leader
About the family: Uncharged tRNA acts as the effector for transcription antitermination of genes in the T-box leader family. T-boxes are found upstream of many aminoacyl-tRNA synthetase genes and some amino acid biosynthetic genes usually in Gram-positive bacteria.
Source: RNAcentral